This is a non-coding RNA of Ciona savignyi (Pacific transparent sea squirt), 119 nucleotides long. The record is from Rfam. NCBI's taxonomy places the organism in Eukaryota, Metazoa, Chordata, Ascidiacea, Phlebobranchia, Cionidae.
GCCUAUCACCAUUCCAGAUUGAAUAUACCCGAAUUCGUCUGAUCUCGGAAGUCAAGCAAUCUCGGGCUUGGUUAGUACUUGGAUGGGUGACCGCUUGAGAAUACCAAGUGUGAUAAGCA